This is a transfer RNA of Hypholoma sublateritium FD-334 SS-4, 89 nucleotides long. It matches the Rfam family "tRNA". Rfam says of the family: Transfer RNA (tRNA) molecules are approximately 80 nucleotides in length. Their secondary structure includes four short double-helical elements and three loops (D, anti-codon, and T loops). Further hydrogen bonds mediate the characteristic L-shaped molecular structure. tRNAs have two regions of fundamental functional importance: the anti-codon, which is responsible for specific mRNA codon recognition, and the 3' end, to which the tRNAs corresponding amino acid is attached (by aminoacyl-tRNA synthetases). tRNAs cope with the degeneracy of the genetic code in two manners: having more than one tRNA (with a specific anti-codon) for a particular amino acid; and 'wobble' base-pairing, i.e. permitting non-standard base-pairing at the 3rd anti-codon position. The record is from Rfam. Lineage: Eukaryota; Fungi; Basidiomycota; Agaricomycetes; Agaricales; Strophariaceae.
GGGCACUUGGCACAGGGGUAGCGCGCUUGCUUUGCAUGUCUCUUGAUUCUGCUUGCACGAGGUCGUGGGUUCAAAUCCCACAGUGUCCA